CCCUUAGAUGUCCUGGGCCGCACGCGCGUUACACUGAUGCAUUCAACGAGCUUAUAACCUUGGCCGAGAGGCCUGGGCAAUCUUGUUAACGUGCAUCGUGAUAGGGAUAGAUUAUUGAAAUUAUUAAUCUUGAACGAGGAAUUCCUAGUAAACGCAGAUCAUCAAUCUGCAUUGAUUACGUCCCUGCCCUUUGUACACACCGCCCGUCGCACCUACCGAUUGGAUGGUCCGGUGAAGCCUCGGGAUUGUGGUUCUUGCCGCUUUAUUGUGGCGUGACCGCGAGAACUUGUCUAAACCUUAUCAUUUAGAGGAAGGAGAAGUCGUAACA
RNAcentral lists this ribosomal RNA (328 nucleotides) under uncultured eukaryote. Its description in RNAcentral is "partial 18S ribosomal RNA". It matches the Rfam family "Eukaryotic small subunit ribosomal RNA", at positions 1470 to 1796 of the family's 1831-position model. The record is from RNAcentral.